Molecule: small RNA, 652 nt
Filed under: Pan troglodytes (chimpanzee)
Lineage: Eukaryota; Metazoa; Chordata; Mammalia; Primates; Hominidae
Description: retained intron
Source: RNAcentral
GCAUAUUUGCUAAGAGCACCAUGCGCGCAGCAGCCAUCUCCACUCCAAAGUUAGACAAAAUGCCAGGAAUGUUCUUCUCUGCUAACCCAAAGGAAUUGAAAGGAACCACUCAUUCACUUCUAGACGACAAAAUGCAAAAAAGGAGGCCAAAGACUUUGUAAGUUUGUUCAGAGUCUCACUUUGUGAAUUUUAACAAGUUAUCUUUAAUGGCAGAAGGAUUGAGAAUGAAUGGAAGAGAGUGUGAGCAUUUAGUUUAGCCAGAUCAGAGGAGUUAAUUGCCUGUUUUGAGUAAUAAGUAAUAUUCAGCUGCAUUAAAAAAUAAAUCUUGAUAUGGCAUUAAAUUGGGUAGGAGUUUUUCUCUACACGGGCUCAUAAAAAUGGGUUCUAUCCGAAGAUAGCAAAAUGUUGUAUCAACCAUUUUUAGUAUUGCCUUAUUCCUUAGAGAAAUUUAUUCUAUGUCUUUUUACAAAUAAAAUGAAUUCUGAAGAAAUAUGAAUAUUCACUUUUAUGUCUUUUGUAGUGGAAUGGAUAUGAAAGCAUACCUGAGAUCUAUGAUCCCACAUCUGGAAUCUGGAAUGAAAUCUUCCAAGUCCAAGGAUGUACUUUCUGCUGCUGAAGUAAUGCAAUGGUCUCAAUCUCUGGAAAAACUUCU